GUUACAGAUGAAGAAACUGAGGCCAAAGAAGGGAACUGACUUGGCUGAUAUGUCAGUGCACAAAAGAGGCUCAUGAAAGGAAACAGCUGCACUGAUACCAGCAGGAGCUGCUGCAGCUACAGAUUUGAGGCGUGCACCUGCACGGGGUUGGGUGACAAGGGAUUUGUCGGGGAAGAGAGUAUCAUGGAAUAUCAGGACUCUAAAGCCAGGGGGAUGGAUGGCUCUGGGGUGGCAAAUUGGAUACCCCACUGCUCACCUGGAGGUCAUGGGAUCACACCUGACUUGAAUUAGUCAAAAGGAUUCCAGGAUGAGGGUUAGUUGGUCAUUUGUGAAUGAAAUGAUUAGCUGGCUGUAACAGUUCCUAAUAAACAGAUCGUCCAUAUCAA
Hyaena hyaena (striped hyena) is the source of this 386-nucleotide long non-coding RNA. RefSeq lists it as uncharacterized. The transcript has 2 exons. The record is from RefSeq and is a predicted model, not a curated record. Lineage: Eukaryota; Metazoa; Chordata; Mammalia; Carnivora; Hyaenidae.